GUUUCAGAUGCUGGAGUGGCAGAGCCAGCAGGCGAGCAGUUUCAAGGAGCGGGCCGGCUGAGGGAGAGAAGCUGCUGGGACUGAGAUUCCCAAAGGUGACGGGUCAGCCCCGACCCGGAGCGGCAGCUAGGCCCAGCGCGCGCACGAAGGGGCGGGGGCCGCGUACCAGGCUGUCCCUGCAGGCGCUCCGUACUCGUCCGAGCCCACGAGCAAGAAAACCGUCACACCCCUCAGCACGCGACUUCCUUCCGGGCCGGCGCUUCGAUGACGCCAUCAAUUCACGCGAGACGACCACACCCCCGCCCCGCGCUCGCUCUGCGCCCCGCCCCCUCGCGCUCCCAGCGGUCAAUGGCCGUAGCUGGCCGCCAGGGAUCGCCCGCGACUUGGUCCGUGUGGUCCUGGACCUCGGUCUUGGGUAUCCGGCCUGGGGCUGGGGAUGAGGACGGUAUAGGAGGGAGCUCUCCGAGAGCGAGCGGCAGGACGCGCAUGGCCCGGAGUACUGAGGCCUAGGGCGUCCCUUUCCAAGGCGUUGACUUUGGGGAUUGCUCCGGAUUUCCCUCCGCAUUAGGCCGAACCUGGUUCGUUUUGGUUUUUUUAGAGACAAGGUCUCGCUCUUUUGCCCAGGCUGGAGUGCAGUGGCACGAUCAUAGCUCACUACAGCCUCGAACUCCUGGGCUUAAGCGAUCCUCCCACCUCACCCUCCUGAGUAGCUGGGACCACAGGCGCACGCCACGACACUUGACAAUUUUAUUUUUAGGAGAGACAGGGUCUCGGUAUGUCUGGUCUCAAACUCUGGCUUCAAGCAAUCCUCCUGCCUCGGCCUCCCAAACUGCUGGGAUUACAGGCAUGAGCCACCAUGCGCGGCCUUUUUUUUUUUCUUUUUUCGCCUUGAUAAGGUACUAGCGAGUUGCAACUGUUUGCUUUCCUAUAGCACAGCUGAAAUGAAACAGUCUUUUCAAUGUACAGAUUAGCAUCAUUACCUCACUAAUCAAAAAUCCUUACCUUGAGUUCUUUAUAUUUUUCUGGGAGCUUUGGCCCUUGCGAUCCUGCAACACCACAAAGUAUAUUAACAAGGAAUUAUUAUUCUAAUUUUAAUGAACGGAAUCUAAGAAGUUCAGCGAGGUUCAAGGGUAAAAGCCAAGGAAAGUUUCCUUUGUGUUUCCUUAAUAUCUUGAGUUCACUGCUUUUUAAACUCCUGCCACAGUGCACCGGGGCUAGUGCACUUUGUCUUUCUAGAUAAACUGUACGUUCCCGGGAGAGCAGAGACUGACUUUCCUUCCGCAUCCCCGGGGCUUAGGUGCCCAGUAAAUACAACUGAAGGCAACGUGGGACCAGGCCCGGAAUCCAGACUUUGUGUCUCCUAGUCUAAGGGCCUCACGUUGUCCUCCACCUGCCCUAUUCACCGGCAUCACAUUGGGGCAUUUCUAAUUCAGCCACUGAAGUUAUUAAUAUUUUGUUUGCAGGAGAGAAAGAGUCCACUUAAUGAUAGCCUUCAGUAAAAGAAAAACUUUUACACGGGGAAGAUGGCAAGCUGGUGGUGUUAGACAGAUUUAAGACUCAGGAAAAGGGAAGUGUGGUUUUUUCCAGGCAUGCCUGCUUGGGAUUGGCCCGUUUGCCUUUCCUGGGUUUGCUCUGGGUGUUGGGAUGUUUCAGAUGGUGAAGCCCAUACGAGGGUUACAUGGUGCUGUCUGGGAGCUCUGUGCCCAUCUCCAUAAAUGAAGGCCUUUCAUCUCCCUACUCUGUCCCUGCAUCCCCCACCCCAAACAGACACAGCUGGCCAAUCUCUUGAUCAAUCCUAUCAGAACUUGAGUUUUUUCUCUCCAUGUUCAGUGAUAUAACCUCAGCUGGGCAUGCUUAUUUAAUAGUUUAUUUAUUUGUUUAUUUAAUAAUUGAGUAAGAAAAAUGGAAAUAUUAGGGUUCAUCAACCCAUGAAAUGGGGGCUAGCCUGCUGCAUCAAGUAUUUAAAUUACUUGUAAUUUAAGAAUUUCCUUUAACCAACCUCUGGUAACCCCUGUCUCCCCUCCCCUUCCCGUAAAUAUGUAUAUUAUUAUGUGUCAAUUAAAAAUAAUAAAAACACAAAAAUUUCCUCACAUU
This 2094-nucleotide non-coding RNA is filed under the name Pongo abelii (Sumatran orangutan). Lineage: Eukaryota; Metazoa; Chordata; Mammalia; Primates; Hominidae. The record is from RNAcentral.